This 465-nucleotide ribosomal RNA is filed under the name Vreelandella stevensii. Its description in RNAcentral is "partial 16S ribosomal RNA". It matches the Rfam family "Bacterial small subunit ribosomal RNA", at positions 338 to 795 of the family's 1533-position model. The record is from RNAcentral. Lineage: Bacteria; Pseudomonadati; Pseudomonadota; Gammaproteobacteria; Oceanospirillales; Halomonadaceae.
CCUACGGGGGGCUGCAGUGGGGAAUAUUGGACAAUGGGCGAAAGCCUGAUCCAGCCAUGCCGCGUGUGUGAAGAAGGCCUUCGGGUUGUAAAGCACUUUCAGUGGGGAAGAAAGCCUUGGGGCUAAUACCCUCGAGGAAGGACAUCACCCACAGAAGAAGCACCGGCUAACUCCGUGCCAGCAGCCGCGGUAAUACGGAGGGUGCGAGCGUUAAUCGGAAUUACUGGGCGUAAAGCGCGCGUAGGCGGUCUGAUAAGCCGGUUGUGAAAGCCCCGGGCUCAACCUGGGAACGGCAUCCGGAACUGUCAGGCUAGAGUGCAGGAGAGGAAGGUAGAAUUCCCGGUGUAGCGGUGAAAUGCGUAGAGAUCGGGAGGAAUACCAGUGGCGAAGGCGGCCUUCUGGACUGACACUGACGCAGAGGUGCGAAAGCGUGGGUAGCAAACAGGAUUAGAUACCCGAGUAGUC